RNAcentral lists this transfer RNA (72 nucleotides) under Camelus bactrianus (Bactrian camel). It matches the Rfam family "tRNA". Rfam says of the family: Transfer RNA (tRNA) molecules are approximately 80 nucleotides in length. RNAcentral also lists the same sequence under 2 other names. The record is from Rfam by way of RNAcentral. Lineage: Eukaryota; Metazoa; Chordata; Mammalia; Artiodactyla; Camelidae.
GAGGGUAUAGUUCAGUGGUAGAGUGCAUGCCUAGCAUGUAAAAGGCCCUGGGUUCAAUCCCCAGUAUCUCUG